AUUCAUACAUAUCCGACGCGAUCCACCACUUAAUCCACCACCACCCGUUUGUCACCCGCUUCACCGCGAGUUUUAACCCAUUUAUUCGAAACGAGUGGGUGAAUAAUCCACCCACCCAGGAAUAAUUGCCAACUCUAUUGGUCGUUUCUCACAGACACAGCAACGAGAUUACGAACACAGCAAGUUGAGAAAGAUGCGUAAGUGUUUCCUUGGAAGUUGGAACAUUCCAACUUCGAUGGGUGAUGGACUGAUGGUUUCUUACUGUGACAUCAAACAACCCGGAUCAAGGUGGUUAUGGGCGUGGACACGUAGUGCUGUCACGUUAUGCUACGCUGUGCAUAUGCAAUCCAUAUGUAGAAAGCGCGAGACAAAUUUAUUAGGGUGAGACGCGCUGCACCCUUACUGCCUCAGCUUAUGCGUUGUUUUCCCCGAUGGUGGACCUUGAGAACAAGCCUCAUUAUGCUUUGUUUACGCUGGAUUAAAGUUGGUUCAGGAUCAUAAAGCAGGCAUACUUAAUAUGGAGGAUGCUGACAUCAUUAUUGAUCCCUUGAAUUUCAAUGCAAAGCAGUUCUUCCUUGAGCAUAGUUUACCUGUGCCUUAUUCUUAUAAUGGUGCAUGUUUAUGGUUACUCAAUGUACUUGUUAGAGUCGGCUGAUGGAUAUAUACUGAGAACUUAGUCACCAACUGAAGGGUCAAUGACACCGGCGUGCUGCCAAGACACGGGUGGAAUUCGAGCCGUCUUAACAGAGGUUAACCUUUUCAAUUCUAGUUGGACCCUUUAUUUCACCUCAAGCAUCUGCGUUAGUUUCUUUGUUACUUCAGCAUGGGUAUGAACAAUUGAACACUUAAGAAUUCAGAUUUUGAGUAAAUACAUGGAACGUGUCCUGAAAUGUGUUUACAUCACUACCUGUCUCCGAUCAACAUAGGAAAAUAUUCCCUUUUCUUAUAUUCCAUGAUUAACCUAAUUCUAGUAUUUAUUGGUACUAUGCAUUAUACUUACAACUUACAAGGACAAGCUUUUCAUGGUUGUACUAUACAUUGAUCUGAUGGUAAAUCUUGUUUUGGAUCUUUUACCUGAUGGUGAACUCCGGUAAGGUUUCUCCACAGGCGUUGUUUGUAACUACAAAGGAUAAUGAUAUAAACGGGACUUAAACUGAGAUACCACCUUUCAAUGACUGUAUAAGCUGAAGUAGCUGACAUCAGUAAUACUUCUAUAUUUAUAUUCCUAA
Molecule: long non-coding RNA, 1229 nt
Organism: Beta vulgaris subsp. vulgaris (sugar beet)
Lineage: Eukaryota; Viridiplantae; Streptophyta; Magnoliopsida; Caryophyllales; Amaranthaceae
Exons: 3
Source: RefSeq, a predicted model, not a curated record